AUGAACAUAUGUUUUAAGUUUAUAUACCACCACUGGCACGCCAUCGGGACUGUGGUCAUCGUGGCCCUGAGGGGUGUGGCCCCCACUGUGGCAGGCGUCCCUUAUUUUUCUGUAUUGAAGGUGGCAACCCUAACAGAAACCGUGGCACUUAUUAAGUGUUAAACAAGUAAUUGUGUGCACAUCCCACCUUCUGGCAGGUGCUGCACAAAAGAAACCGCUAAAGUGAAGAAGACCUAGUAGGGUCGAAAUGUUGCUUGCUUUUUAAUAAUCCAGUAAAUAUGGGAGUUAUAAACAGUGUUUUACAUUUUUUCACUUAUUAAAAGUGUCAAUGUGAAACGCCAUUAUGAGACAAAACAUACACAUUGCCUCUCGGUCCUGUGUUUCACGCCUAAUAAAAAGCGUUUCCUGACUUGAAGCGGAGCGACAGAGUGUCGAGAGAUCGUGUUGAUCGUGUUCAGCAUGAGGAUCAUAAAACUUCAGCUCUAUCUGCUUGUGUUCUGUGGAGCUGCUGAAUGUUUCCGAGAGAAGUCUGUAGAUUUGGGACAAAAUGUGACUCUAGAGUGUGAAGUGUCUUUGAUGUCUACUGGUUCCUGAUGAACGUGCCAGAACCUCCAGUGUUUAUAUUAAGCUCUUUCCCCAGUAUUUCCCUGACAGCACAGUACAGUAACACAACCUUCAACAAGACAUUCUCACUGCAGUAUACCAACAGUUUGUUUAUACACAAUAUCAGUACUAAUGAAUUAGGAGUCUAUUAUUGUAUUUAAACUCCUAUUGAUUCACCUUUAAUCAUCAGCCGUGGAAUCAGACUUUACAAUAAGGUGGAUAUAUAUGGUUUUGUUGUGAAGCCUAUACUGUAUUUAUAACUUCACUCAUCAUUGGGCAAUUAUACGAUUCAGUGUAACAUUUAAUGUCGUAUAUUUUGUCAUAUAUUUAUUGGAUAGUAAUAUAGUAUUGUAGAAUAAGUUGAAAAUGAAAAGGAAUGCAAGGAAAGCCUUUUGUGCACCACUUAAUAGAAUGAUCUUUUUUAAAAUGGUUCACACUUGUACUUUUGAGACAAGGUCUAUCCUUAAUCUGUUAGGUCCAGUGUUUGAUUUUAUCCCAACAAAAUUCCCAAUAAAAGUGAAUUCAAUUGAAUAAAUAGGUGAGCUAAUAAUAAUAAUCGCUUUAAUUUAUAUAGCGCCUUUCAAAGGACCCAAGGUCGCUUGCUCACAGACUCCGUUGAAUGUUCUUGUGUGAUAAAGAAAGUGUCUUUCUUCCGGUGUGGUGUGUGUGUGUGUGAUGUAGAUAAAACAUAACCGGGCUGAAAAGGACAUGGCAGUAAGUCAAAAUCAAAUACUAAAACAUUCAGCAGAAUGGUCUUAACAAUGGAGCGAAUGAAACAUUAAAAGUAGCCUUUUUUUUUUUUUUUUUUUACAUUAAUGUUUUAAAUGACUGCGUGUUAGUUGAGCAUGCUGUUAAACACGUAAAAGACCCACGUUUGCACAUCAAUGCCUGUACAGGGUGUUUUAUUUGCAAAACUUAAAUGUAAGAAACGUAUUCAACUAAAGUUAUGUUUACAAAGAACUUUUCGAAUGUGUUAAAUUGAUUGUAUUAAUAUCUGCAGGCAGUGGCGGGAUGAAGGAAUUAUGCACAAUGUACUUUGUUUAAAUUUAACUUUUUGUACUAUUUGCAGCACAGCUGCAAAUGCUUUGGUAAUGCAAAUGUACAGUUUUUGUCAUGCCAAUAAAGCACACUUAAAUUGAGAGAGAGAGAGAGAGAGAGAGAGAGAGAGAGAGAGAGAGAGAGAGAGAGAGACCUAUUUUGAUAACAAUAAAAUAACAGCAGCCCUUAUUAAACCACUUAAUUAUUUUAAUAUUUUGCUGCAUGAUGAAAUCAUGGCAAUAUCCGGAAUCUCCAGUGAAACAAGUUUUUACAAGCUAGAAACCCAUUGUUGACAUUUUUUAAAGCUCUCAUUUUGCUUGUGAAUGUGGAUGUUGAAAUGAAUUUUCUUUAUGGUAAUUAAUUUUUGUGCUUAUUUCAUUUUCUUUCCACAUUUCUCUUUCUAUGUCGGAAUGAAUGUGUUCCUCCCCCACUCUGGUCAUGCUGACCUGUGAUAAGUGUGUUCUUGUACCCUGAGUUUCUGCAAACAUAAGCAUGAUGUGCUCUUGACCGGAUGAAAAGACAAGAUAGGUUGACCUGCUUGUGGGAUUACUCGCAGGACACUCAGUUUCUCUUUGCUCAUGUACAGGCUUUCUGACCUUCAAUGCUUGGAUAGGAGUUGUGAGGAAGCAGCAUUCUAGCAU
Tachysurus fulvidraco (yellow catfish) is the source of this 2282-nucleotide long non-coding RNA. RefSeq lists it as uncharacterized. The record is from RefSeq and is a predicted model, not a curated record. The transcript has 3 exons. Lineage: Eukaryota; Metazoa; Chordata; Actinopteri; Siluriformes; Bagridae.